GGGAGCUCUUCUGGGCGGGCUCCUGCGCGUGCGCACACGUGAGCACCCCCCCCCCCAUGGUCCUGCCCGUUCCUCCUCCCCACCCCAGCUCCCACUGCCUGCCUGCCUGGCCCCCCACACUCAUCCGUGGGGGAGGAUUUUUCCAGGCAAGCUAUGAAGACCCCGGAGUGUGCUGGUAGGCUCCCCCUCACACCCGGGGGACAGGCUCCGUCCUCGCCUGAGCGGUCACCCCAGGAAAGCCGGGCGGAAAGCCGUCCAGCAGCGUGAUCUGCGGGCCCACCCCACUGAGAGGGAGGGGCCAGGAGCACAGACCUCCACAAACCCUCGUCCUGGACAAGCCUUUAGGAGCCACUGGGAUUGGGACCGAGCCAAGGCAGAGGAGCUGACUAAGGCCCAUCCUCCACGGACCUUCUGUGAAAGAUCAACAUCGCGGGAGGGAGGCCACAGCUCAGUUCCCGCACUGGGCCCUACAGACCAGGCUAAAAACCAACAUGGAGUCACUCGUGGUGGGCAAGGGCCAUGACAGGUGCCCAGAGAUGAUCUCGGCGAGGGAGACAGCUAGAAGGACGGAGAGCUAUUGCCAGCCUGUCAGGAAGCCUCACAGUCAGACAACGGCUGCCCAGCACGCCUGUCCGUCGACAGCCAGCGCCGCAGUUCCAAGGCCACAGCUAACCAGGAGACUGAGGCCGGAGGAGCCCUGGAACCCAGGAGCCGGGGCCAGCACGGGCAAUGUCCUGAGACCUCAUUUCAAAAACAACACGAACUGCCCAUAAGUUGAAUGGACCAAUUAGAUGUGGCAUGGCCAUGGGGUGGGAUAUUCUCCUACCAUAGAAAGAAGGAAGUCCUGCCGUGAGCUGCAGGAUGGAUGAACCUUCAUUCCUGAUGCUCAGAGAACAAAGGCAGACACAAACAAACGUGUAUAUGAUUCUCUUCAUACAAAGGGUUCAGCAGAGGCCAGCCUGUAGAGACACAAAGAAGAUCAGUAGUCAGGGCUGGGGAAAGCACUUGUUGGGGGAAAUGCUGACCACUA
Molecule: long non-coding RNA, 1030 nt
Filed under: Chinchilla lanigera (long-tailed chinchilla)
Lineage: Eukaryota; Metazoa; Chordata; Mammalia; Rodentia; Chinchillidae
Description: lncRNA (ENSCLAG00000027006.1)
Source: RNAcentral